RNAcentral lists this ribosomal RNA (479 nucleotides) under uncultured bacterium. RNAcentral's name for it is "partial 16S ribosomal RNA". It matches the Rfam family "Bacterial small subunit ribosomal RNA", at positions 28 to 507 of the family's 1533-position model. The record is from RNAcentral.
GAUGAACGCUAGCGGGAGGCCUAACACAUGCCAGCCGAGCGGUAGAGUUUCUUCGGAAACUUGAGAGCGGCGCACGGGUGCGUAACACGUGUGCAACCUACCUUUAUCUGGGGGAUAGCCUUUCGAAAGGAAGAUUAAUACCCCAUAAUAUAAUGAUUGGCAUCAAUUAUUAUUGAAAACUCCGGUGGAUAGAGAUGGGCACGCGCAAGAUUAGAUAGUUGGUGAGGUAACGGCUCACCAAGUCAAUGAUCUUUAGGGGUCCUGAGAGGGAGAUCCCCCACACUGGUACUGACACACGGACCAGACUCCUACGGGAGGCAGCAGUGAGGAAUAUUGGACAAGGGGUGAGAGCCUGAUCCAGCCAUCCCGCGUGAAGGAUGACGGUCCUAUGGAUUGUAAACUUCUUUUGUACAGGGAUAAACCUACCCUCGUGAGGGUAGCUGAAGGUACUGUACGAAUAAGCACCGGCUAACUCCGUG